GAUGAACGCUGACAGAAUGCUUAACACAUGCAAGUCAACUUGGAUUUGGGGUUUUAACUUCGGUUUGGUUGGCGGACGGGUGAGUAACGCGUAAAGAACUUGCCUCACAGCUAGGGACAACAUUUGGAAACGAAUGCUAAUACCUAAUAUUAUGAUAAUCGGGCAUCCUAUAAUUAUGAAAGCUAUAAGCGCUGUGAGAGAGCUUUGCGUCCCAUUAGCUAGUUGGAGAGGUAACGGCUCACCAAGGCGAUGAUGGGUAGCCGGCCUGAGAGGGUGAUCGGCCACAAGGGGACUGAGAGACGGCCCUUACUCAUACGGGAGGCAGCAGUGGGUAAUAUUGGACAAUGGACCGAGAGUCUGAUGCAGCAAUUCUGUGUGCACGAUGAAGUUUUUCGGAAUGUAAAGAGCUUUCAGUUGGGAAGAAACAAAUGACGGUACCAACAGAAGAAGUGACGGCUAAAUCCGUG
This 467-nucleotide ribosomal RNA is filed under the name uncultured bacterium. Its description in RNAcentral is "partial 16S ribosomal RNA". It matches the Rfam family "Bacterial small subunit ribosomal RNA", at positions 28 to 507 of the family's 1533-position model. The record is from RNAcentral.